This 254-nucleotide ribosomal RNA is filed under the name uncultured bacterium. RNAcentral describes it as "partial 16S ribosomal RNA". It matches the Rfam family "Bacterial small subunit ribosomal RNA", at positions 524 to 776 of the family's 1533-position model. The record is from RNAcentral.
CACGUAGGGUGCAAGCGUUGUCCGGAAUUAUUGGGCGUAAAGGGCUCGUAGGCGGCUUGGCAAGUCGAGCGUGAAAACUCCAGGCUCAACCUGGAGCUGCCGUUUGAUACUGCCAUGGCUAGAGUCCGGUAGGGGACCACGGAAUUCCUGGUGUAGCGGUGAAAUGCGCAGAUAUCAGGAGGAACACCGGUGGCAAAGGCGCUCAUCUGGCCCAAUACUGACGCUGAGGCGCGAAAGCUAGGGGAGCAAACGGG